AUCAUUUAAGCUGAAAUCCAGCAUGAAACCAGGGAGGUGAUGGCCAUCGCACAGGCCAUGUGCCGACCAUUCACUUUCCACCAGCUUGUGACUUGCUCCAUGAAGGGAGCAACAACUACAACUGGGUCACCAAGACCAAGCCUCCCCGCUGCUGAGAGAAAUGCAAUCAUUGAUGUCAUAGCCAAAACCUUUGACAAGCCUCUGGUUGAUGUUGAAGAAAAGAUGAGAGGUUGUUUAAGGCAUCUGCGGCUGAUGCACAAGUAGACUGAAGUCUUUGUAAAUAAAAUGUGCUGUUAAAAUGAUUAUUUAACCAUUGUUUUCGCUUUGUUAUAUAGAUUUGCACCUGUUUCAACAACAUUAACUUAUU
Long non-coding RNA from Dreissena polymorpha, 367 nucleotides. RefSeq lists it as uncharacterized. The transcript is spliced from 2 exons. NCBI's taxonomy places the organism in Eukaryota, Metazoa, Mollusca, Bivalvia, Myida, Dreissenidae. The record is from RefSeq and is a predicted model, not a curated record.